This 331-nucleotide ribosomal RNA is filed under the name uncultured eukaryote. Its description in RNAcentral is "partial 18S ribosomal RNA". It matches the Rfam family "Eukaryotic small subunit ribosomal RNA", at positions 1470 to 1796 of the family's 1831-position model. The record is from RNAcentral.
CCCUUAGAUGUUCUGGGCCGCACGCGCGCUACACUGAGCCCUUCAUCGAGUUUACAACCUUGGCCGGUAGGUCUGGGUAAUCUUCUCAAAGGGGCUCGUGCUGGGGAUAGAUUAUUGUAAUUUUUAAUCUUCAACGAGGAAUUCCUAGUAAACGCAAGUCAACAGCUUGCAUUGAUUACGUCCCUGCCCUUUGUACACACCGCCCGUCGCUACUACCGAUUGAAUGGUUUAGUGAGAUCUCCGGAUUGGCACCAUCGAGGCUUCACGGCCUUGACGGAAAGUCGAAAAGUUGCUCAAACUUGAUCAUUUAGAGGAAGUAAAAGUCGUAACA